RNAcentral lists this ribosomal RNA (678 nucleotides) under uncultured bacterium. Its description in RNAcentral is "bacterial SSU rRNA". It matches the Rfam family "Bacterial small subunit ribosomal RNA", at positions 1 to 677 of the family's 1533-position model. The record is from RNAcentral.
AGGGGGUUUGGGAUCCUGGCUCAGAUUGAACGUUGGCGGCAGGCUUAACACAUGCAAGUCGAACGAGAACGUCCCUUCGGGGACUAGUAGAGUGGCGGACGGGUGAGUAACGCGUAGGAAUCUACCCAGUAGUGGGGGAUAACCCGAGGAAACUCGGGCUAAUACCGCAUACAUCCCACGGGAAAAAGAGGGCCUCUGUUUCAUGCUCUCGCUAUUGGAGGAGCCUGCGUCGGAUUAGCUUGUUGGUAGGGUAAUGGCCUACCAAGGCGACGAUCCGUAGCUGGUCUGAGAGGACGAUCAGCCACACUGGGACUGAGACACGGCCCAGACUCCUACGGGAGGCAGCAGUGGGGAAUAUUGGACAAUGGGCGCAAGCCUGAUCCAGCCAUGCCGCGUGUGUGAUGAAGGCCUUCGGGUUGUAAAGCACUUUCAGGGGUGAAGAAAAGCACUUGGUCAAUACCCGGGUGUCUUGACGUUAGCUCCAGAAGAAGCACCGGCUAACUCCGUGCCAGCAGCCGCGGUAAUACGGAGGGUGCGAACGUUAAUCGGAAUUACUGGGCGUAAAGCGCGCGUAGGCGGCUCGCUAAGUGGGAUGUGAAAGCCCUGGGCUCAACCUGGGAAUUGCAUUCCAAACUGGCGGACUAGAGUACGGUAGAGGGAGGUGGAAUUUAGGGUGUA